UACGGAGGGGGCUAGCGUUGUUCGGAAUUACUGGGCGUAAAGGGCGCGUAGGCGGCCUGCUAAGUCGAACGUGAAAUCCCCGAGCUCAACUCGGGAACUGCGUCCGAUACUGACAGGCUUGAAUCCGGGAGAGGGAUGCGGAAUUCCAGGUGUAGCGGUGAAAUGCGUAGAUAUCUGGAGGAACACCGGUGGCGAAGGCGGCAUCCUGGACCGGCAUUGACGCUGAGGCGCGAAAGCUAGGGGAGCAAACGGG
Molecule: ribosomal RNA, 253 nt
Filed under: uncultured bacterium
Lineage: Bacteria
Description: partial 16S ribosomal RNA
Rfam family: Bacterial small subunit ribosomal RNA
Source: RNAcentral